GGAGGAGCGGCCUGGCUUUGUCUGAGUCAGGCGGCCCAGCGUGUGGGAUGUCAGGCUGGAUGUGCUGGGCCUGACCAGCCGCCCGCUUUCCUCUUCUCUUGCCUCUGCCUGCCCCCUCGUGGACAGCUGGGGUAAAGCAUGGGAGUGCGCCUUUGGGGUCUCAGUGGGGCUGAAAUACGACUCCUCCCCUAGGACAGCCUGCCUCCCCCAGCCUUGUUCUCCGGCAAAGUCAAUUUCCUGGAGAAUCGAGGCUCUGCCUCAGAUGUUCGGAGCCUCCGCAGGAUGAACACCUCCAUUUCAAUUCCAGGGGCCUUGAUCAACCUGUGCCUCCCUUGAUCCCCAACUUGUGGGCACCUUCCCUUGAGCAGUGCCCCCACGAGGUACACCUUUCCCGGGAAACAAAAAUCAUUCCUUCUUUGGGUCCUGCAAGCUGUAAAGAACCAAUACAGCACUGUGCUACUGAACAUGUUGCCACUAUAGAAGCCCCUUGUGUUUUGAAGAGUACAUCUCUAUAGCCAUUCAUUUAUUCAUCAGAAACCAGCUAGAAGCCAGGCCCUGUGCUGGGCACUGGAGACAUGGAAGAAACUGGGCUGAGGCUCCCGCCUUGAAGAGCUUGUGGCCCAGGGAAGGGACAGUUAAUCUGUCAUUGAUUGCCACGUGACAGUGUCUAUGAUGCUAAAAAGAUGCCAGUGCUGUGCUGCAGGAGCAAAGGCCGUGGAGGAAGGGGCUUUGGCUUUGUUGCGAGUUCUUGCCAGAGCCAGGCAAAGCCAGUUACCGCUUUGUUCAGAUGACUCAGGUAAAUAAAUGAGGCUACACAGGCUGUCCUGACACCACACACCUCUAGAAUACCCUGGCUGUGCUGGGAGCUAUUGGUGUCAGCUGAGUAUUUUCAUCCCUGUCCAAGUCACAAUGAUCUGACUGUACCAGCCUGUGUGGAUGUUGCUAAGAGGAGGCAGACAGCGCCAUGAGCUCCCUUAGAUGACGAUCGGCAUGAUGUUCCUGCUGUGGCAGCGCUCAGCUCUUGCCAAUGCUCUUCUCUGCUUUGCUCACUUUAAGCCUCUCUUAAUUUUUUUGAAGCCCAGUUUCCACAUUGCUGAUUCACAGAUAUGCAAGACUCAGGCAGGAAAAAAAAAAGUGUCUCCUUUUCCAGACUUCUUAGAGGACUUGGAAAGAAAAUGAAAUGACGUUGAACGAAAUCGAAGUAAAUUGAGUGAUCUGAAACGAUUUGAUGUCAGCAAGAAUUCCCCAUACAGCUCACAGCCCUACCCCGAGCACGCCUCCCUCUUGGGUAUGCUCUCUGCAGGCCCAAACCUUGCAGAAGCCAUUCCAUGUUUCCUGAGCAGGAAAAGACAAACUCAGACCGACAACCUUGGACUUCAAAAGACGGCACACAAGGGGAGGAAGGACUGAGAGUACCAAGGCGUGAGAAUUCAGAAUGCUGCUAUCUCAUUUAUUUUUACCAUUUAGGAAACGUUUUGAUCUGCAUCCUUUUCCCUUCCCUGAUUUCAAAAAAUAAAAAUAAAAAUGCUUCGGUUCUGAGGAGUAACUCUCCA
Molecule: long non-coding RNA, 1553 nt
Organism: Pan troglodytes (chimpanzee)
Lineage: Eukaryota; Metazoa; Chordata; Mammalia; Primates; Hominidae
Exons: 3
Source: RefSeq, a predicted model, not a curated record